CCUACGGGAGGCUGCAGUGGGGAAUAUUGCACAAUGGGGGAAACCCUGAUGCAGCGACGCCGCGUGAGUGAAGAAGUAUUUCGGUAUGUAAAGCUCUAUCAGCAGGGAAGAAAAUGACGGUACCUGACUAAGAAGCCCCGGCUAACUACGUGCCAGCAGCCGCGUUAAUACGUAGGGAGCAAGCGUUAUCCUGAUUUACUGAGUGUAAAGGGAGCGUAGGUGGCAUGGUACGCCAGAAGUGAAAACCCAGGGCUCAACUCUGUGGAUUGCUUUUGGAACUAUCAAGCUAGAGUGCUGGAGGGUUAUGCGGAAUGCCUAGUGUAUCGGUGAAAGGCGUAGAUAUUACGCGUAACACCGGGGGUGAAGGCGGCUUACUGGACAGAAACUGACACUGAGGCUCGAAAGCGUGGGGAGCAAACAGGAUUAGAUACCCGGGGAGUC
RNAcentral lists this ribosomal RNA (441 nucleotides) under uncultured bacterium. Its description in RNAcentral is "partial 16S ribosomal RNA". It matches the Rfam family "Bacterial small subunit ribosomal RNA", at positions 338 to 795 of the family's 1533-position model. The record is from RNAcentral.